Molecule: small nuclear RNA, 164 nt
Filed under: Carlito syrichta (Philippine tarsier)
Lineage: Eukaryota; Metazoa; Chordata; Mammalia; Primates; Tarsiidae
Description: U1 spliceosomal RNA (ENSTSYG00000029009.1)
Rfam family: U1 spliceosomal RNA
About the family: U1 is a small nuclear RNA (snRNA) component of the spliceosome (involved in pre-mRNA splicing).
Source: Rfam by way of RNAcentral
AUACUUACCUGGCAGGGGAGACAGCAUGAUCACGAGGUGGUUGUCCCAGGGCUGAGGCUUAUUCAUUUUACUCCAGAUCUGCUGACCCCUGCGAUUUCCCCAAAUGUGGGAAACUCCACGCCAUAAUUUGUGGUAGUGGGGGACUGCAUUCAUGCUCUUCCCUG